Molecule: transfer RNA, 74 nt
Filed under: Staphylococcus aureus
Lineage: Bacteria; Bacillati; Bacillota; Bacilli; Caryophanales; Staphylococcaceae
Also listed under: 28 other names
Description: tRNA-Gly
Rfam family: tRNA
About the family: Transfer RNA (tRNA) molecules are approximately 80 nucleotides in length.
Source: RNAcentral
GCGGGAGUAGUUUAAUGGUAGAACCUUAGCCUUCCAAGCUAAUGACACGGGUUCGAUUCCCGUUUCCCGCUCCA